GACGAACGCUGGCGGCGUGCCUAAUACAUGCAAGUCGAGCGAAGCGGCGGAUGGGUAAGUAACGAGUGGGUAACCUACCAUUAAGUCUUGGAUACCAUUUGGAAACAGAUGCUACUACCGGCUACUAAAGGACGGACCUGCGGUUCAUUAGCUAGUUGGUAAGGUAACGGCUUACCAAGGCGAUGAUGCAUAGCCGAGUUGAGAGGCUGAUCGGCCACAUUGGGACUGAGACACGGCCCAGACUCCUACGGGAGGCAGCAGUAGGGAAUCUUCGACAAUGGACGAAAGUCUGAUGGAGCAACGCCGCGUGAGUGAAGAAGGUUUUCGGAUCGUAAAGCUCUGUUGUUGGUGAAGCGGUAAUCAACCAGAAAGUCACGGCUAACUACGUGCCAGCAGCCGCGGUAAUUC
This 408-nucleotide ribosomal RNA is filed under the name uncultured bacterium. RNAcentral's name for it is "partial 16S ribosomal RNA". It matches the Rfam family "Bacterial small subunit ribosomal RNA", at positions 28 to 526 of the family's 1533-position model. The record is from RNAcentral.